This is a long non-coding RNA of Oncorhynchus keta (chum salmon), 699 nucleotides long. RefSeq lists it as uncharacterized. Lineage: Eukaryota; Metazoa; Chordata; Actinopteri; Salmoniformes; Salmonidae. The transcript has 5 exons. The record is from RefSeq and is a predicted model, not a curated record.
ACAGCACUGACACACACACUUACCCCACCAGACAUGCCACCAGGGGUCUUUUCACAGUCCCCAGGUCCAGAACACACUUACCCCACCAGACAUGCCACCAGGGGUCUUUUCACAGUCCCCAGGUCCAGAACACACUUACCCCACCAGACAUGCCACCAGGGGUCUUUUCACAGUCCCCAGGUCCAGAACACACUUACCCCACCAGACAUGCCACCAGGGGUCUUUUCACAGUCCCCAGGUCCAGAACACACUUACCCCACCAGACAUGCCACCAGGGGUCUUUUCACAGUCCCCAGGUCCAGAACACACUUACCCCACCAGACAUGCCACCAGGGGUCUUUUCACAGUCCCCAGGUCCAGAACACACUUACCCCACCAGACAUGCCACCAGGGGUCUUUUCACAGUCCCCAGGUCCAGAACACACUUACCCCACCAGACAUGCCACCAGGGGUCUUUUCACAGUCCCCAGGUCCAGAACACACUUACCCCACCAGACAUGCCACCAGGGGUCUUUUCACAGUCCCCAGGUCCAGAACAAAUUCAAUGAAAUGUACAUGUUAUUCAGAGCCAUACCUGCAUGGAACUCCCUUCCAUCUCAUACAGCGCAAGUGAACAGCAAACCUGGUUUCAAAAAACAGAUAAAGCAGCACCUCACGGCACAACGCCUCUCCCAUGUGACCUACUGGUUGCGUGUAUGU